RNAcentral lists this ribosomal RNA (484 nucleotides) under uncultured bacterium. Its description in RNAcentral is "partial 16S ribosomal RNA". It matches the Rfam family "Bacterial small subunit ribosomal RNA", at positions 30 to 507 of the family's 1533-position model. The record is from RNAcentral.
AUUGAACGCUGGCGGCAGGCCUAACACAUGCAAGUCGAGCGGAUGAAGGGAGCUUGCUCCUGGAUUCAGCGGCGGACGGGUGAGUAAUGCCUAGGAAUCUGCCUGGUAGUGGGGGAUAACGUCCGGAAACGGGCGCUAAUACCGCAUACGUCCUGAGGGAGAAAGUGGGGGAUCUUCGGACCUCACGCUAUCAGAUGAGCCUAGGUCGGAUUAGCUAGUUGGUGGGGUAAAGGCCUACCAAGGCGACGAUCCGUAACUGGUCUGAGAGGAUGAUCUGUCACACUGGAACUGAGACACGGUCCAGACUCCUACGGGAGGCAGCAGUGGGGAAUAUUGGACAAAGGGCGAAAGCCUGAUCCAGCCGUGCCGCGUGUGUGAAGAAGGUCUUCGGAUUGUAAAGCACUUUAAGUUGGGAGGAAGGGCAGUAAGUUAAUACCUUGCUGUUUUGACGUUACCAACAGAAUAAGCACCGGCUAACUUCGUG